RNAcentral lists this ribosomal RNA (415 nucleotides) under uncultured prokaryote. RNAcentral's name for it is "bacterial SSU rRNA". It matches the Rfam family "Bacterial small subunit ribosomal RNA", at positions 505 to 918 of the family's 1533-position model. The record is from RNAcentral.
GUGUCAGCAGCCGCGGUAACACGGAGGGUGCAAGCGUUGUUCGGAAUUACUAGGCGUAAAGCGCGUGUAGGUGGUUAGUUAAGUCGGAUGUGAAAAUUCCAAGCUUAACUUGGAACCGGCAUUCGAAACUGGUUAACUUGAGUGUAGGAGAGGAGAGCGGAAUUCCUAGUGUAGCGGUGAAAUGCGUAGAUAUUAGGAAGAACACCGGUGGCGAAGGCGGCUCUCUGGCCUAAAACUGACACUGAGACGCGAAAGCGUGGGUAGCAAACAGGAUUAGAUACCCUGGUAGUCCACGCCGUAAACGAUGGGCAUUAGGUGUAGGAGGUAUCCAAUCCUUCUGUGCCGAAGCUAACGCAUUAAAUGCCCCGCCUGGGGAGUACGACCGCAAGGUUGAAACUCAAAGGAAUUGACGGGG